GGGGCGGUGGUCCCGGCAUGCACUGCGAAGCUCCUACUCCCACAGCUAACCCCUCCUUCACUGCCAUAGACACUCCCGCGAUCCGUGGGGAAUCCCUCCUCUCAGGCGUUAGCGCGGGCUCCUCCAAAUCGCGCCCUUACGCUCUCACGAUAUCUUGUUACGUCACGGAUGGUCGCCAUCUUGGACUCUGGCUGAGUAAUAAAUUCUCCCGCACGAGAGCGCGGGCUUUCUUGACACGCGCUUUGCUGGGAGAGCGUCUGCUUCUCCGCGUCCUUCUCGUGGCCCUGCGGUCGGUGGUUUCCGCGUGGCCCGGAGCGAGGCUGAGAUCUGUAUCUGUGGACCUGAAUGUUGAUCCCUCGCUUCAGAUUGACAUACCUGAUGCACUCAGUGAGAGAGAUAAGGUCAAAUUUACAGUGCACACCAAGACAACGCUGCCCACGUUUCAGAGCCCAGAGUUUUCUGUUACAAGGCAACAUGAAGACUUUGUGUGGCUACAUGAUACUCUUAUUGAAACUGCAGACUAUGCUGGGCUUAUCAUUCCGCCUGCUCCUACAAAGCCUGACUUCGAUGGCCCUCGAGAAAAGAUGCAGAAACUGGGAGAGGGUGAAGGGUCUAUGACCAAAGAAGAAUUUGCUAAGAUGAAGCAAGAGCUGGAAGCUGAGUAUCUUGCAGUCUUUAAGAAGACUGUGUCCUCUCAUGAAGUCUUUCUGCAGCGGCUCUCCUCUCACCCUGUUCUCAGUAAAGAUCGCAACUUCCAUGUGUUCCUGGAAUAUGAUCAGGAUCUAAGUGUCAGGCGGAAAAAUACCAAAGAGAUGUUUGGUGGCUUUUUCAAAAGUGUGGUGAAAAGUGCUGAUGAAGUCCUUUUUUCUGGAGUUAAAGAGGUAGAUGACUUCUUUGAGCAAGAAAAGAAUUUCCUCAUUAACUAUUAUAAUAGGAUCAAGGAUUCAUGUGCAAAAGCUGACAAAAUGACCCGAUCUCAUAAAAAUGUUGCAGAUGACUAUAUCCACACUGCAGCCUGCCUGCAUAGCCUGGCUUUAGAAGAGCCCACGGUCAUCAAAAAGUACCUUUUGAAGGUUGCUGAGCUAUUUGAAAAACUUAGGAAAGUAGAGAGUCGAGUCUCCUCAGAUGAAGAUUUAAAGCUGACGGAACUUCUCCGAUACUACAUGCUCAACAUAGAGGCUGCUAAGGAUCUCUUAUACAGACGCACCAAAGCCCUCACCGACUAUGAGAACUCAAACAAAGCAUUGGAUAAGGCCAGGUUGAAAAGCAAAGAUGUCAAGUUGGCUGAGGCACACCAGCAAGAAUGCUGCCAGAAAUUUGAACAGCUCUCUGAAUCUGCAAAAGAAGGUGGAGCAGGGCUAUUCUUUACUUUUUGCUUUUUAUUUGGAAAUAAUUUCAAGCUCACAGAGAAAAGUUGCACAGAAAGUAAAAAGAACACCCAUAUAUUUUUUACUUGGAGUCACCUAGCUGUCUAGUUUGCCCCUUCUGCUUCGUCUCUUGCACGUGCACCCAUGCUGCCACGUUUGUGUUUAUAAAUACAUGUGGGGUGGUCUUUUCUUUUUUAGCCAUUUGAGAUUAAGUUGUAUGUAUUAUGGUCCUUUUAUCCCUAAGCUUUGUUGAGUAUUUGUCUUACACUUACCCACUUUGGUAAACUUUAAUACAACACACUCCAACCUGCUCUCUCUAUUCUCAUCUUAUUGUUGGCCCUAAUAAUGGCUUCCCGUCUGGGGUUGCCAUUAGGUUACCAUUGCUCUUGUGUCUCCUCUAAUUUGGAAGGAACCCUUCUCAGGCCCCCACCCCUUCACCUUUUUUUAAAAUGACAUUUGCCUUUUUGGAGACCAUAGUCUCUACAAACAGUGUUCUUCAUUUUCAGAUGGUCUAUUUCUGCAACGAAUAGUUGCUAGUUAUGCAUUUCCAACAGAAUAUUCUGUGAGUAAUGUGUCUUUUGGGUGUCACAUCUGAGGGCAUGUUCUGUUCGUUUUCUCCUCAUUUGUGGUGUUAAUUUCUUUGCUGUAUAGUUAAUACCCACGUCACUAAUCAACUGUGUGAGGAGACCAUUUAAAAACCCUGCAGAUAGUUUCUCCCUAAAUUUAGACUGUGUUGAGUCUUGCCUGAGCCAGCUCCUACUGUGCUGGUUGCAGAAAGACGAUUCCCUGCUCCCCAGUUCUAGUGUUCUCUUCCCAAGCCUUUGGCAUCAUCAUCAUCCAUUAAGCACAAGCCUUCCCUUCUUUUGCACAUUUCCUUUCUUGUCAUUGUUAGUCAUGGGUUUCUAUUUUUGAAAAUAGUUUUUAAAUUCAUUAUUGUAGUGCAUUAUUUUGGCGCUCAAUUUGUCCAGACUUAGAGGGAAGCACCUUUAAGUUGGCAUGUCCUAUAUCUUCUCUAGCCCUAGAAAUCACCAUUUCUUCCAGAAGUGUAGGUUCUGUUUAGUUACAGAAUUGUGACAAGAUUAGGGUGUUGAGUGUGCUCAUUUCUCCUGGGGUGUCUCUCUAGGCCCUUCAGGAGACAGAGCCAGGAAAUGGAGUGGUGUGUAACUCUCUCCAGGAGUCAUGGUAGCGAUACAGUUCCAGUCCACAGCCGCAGGGUUCUUUUUUGCCUUAUCUCAUUCCAGAGUAGGGGGGAUUAUGGCUUAACUUUAUUGGGAGAUAGUGUUCCAUUUCCACAGAACAGGAGUGUAAAUUGUAGUCUUUUCCUUAUUAGGCACGGGGUGGAGGGAUGGGGUGGUCUAACCUGCAGUUCUCAGGAGCCAUGGAACAUGCUAGAGCAAAAGUCAAGAAUGUGUUUUCCUGAAUGUAAUUAUAGUGGUAACUGUACUUGAUUCACUCCCAGACCUUGGCUUUCUGUGACAAAUCCCUAGCUCAUUUUAAGACUGUUUUCUCAGAAUUCCCCCUCCCCGCAAACCUUUGGUUCCAAAAUCCAGGCAUAUCUGAAAACAUCCUGAUACUAGCAAUAAGCAAUAGAGUUCUUGUCCUUUGUUUUGUCUUGGCUUAUGUUUUCAGUACUAUAACUUAGCUGUAAGGGACAGAGCUUCUCUGUACAGAAAUCUUGCAAAAGCCAUGCCGAUAUGCUCAUGUGGCCAUCUUUUGGAUUCUUUUGAGGGAACCUUCUUGCUGCCAUGGUAAAAUAAAUUCUUGUCCUUUGUUUAAUUAGCUAAUUUUAGGUUUUUGAGAACAAACUUCAAAACUAUGGAGUUGAAAUCUUAGAUUAUUAUGUAGGUCAAAGUUUGGUAGCUCUGACAACUUUAGAGAGGAUUAAGGAAAAACUACAAAACUUUAAAGUGCUGCCAAUUUAGGCCUGUCCUGAUUGCCUAAGGUUUGUCCAUGUGUUGUUGGAUUUUUAUCCUCUUUAUUCAAAAGUGUAAGCCUGGGUGUACUGUAUUUAAAAGUACAGUGUUCUAUAGGAUACUGUAAUGAAUGGAUCUUAACCUGUUUACCUCUGAUCCGAGUUCUUUCUAAACUUCAUAGCUGAACUGAUGAGUUAGUUGAAUGAGCAUGGUACAAGUGAUAGUGUGGGCAGGCAUCAUGGGUGGUCUGACAGGUUAGUGUUGAGUCCUGGUCCUGGGUGCAGGCCUAGAGUCGGGAGGUGAGUUUAUCUGGACAUCCAGAAAGACCUGUUUACUAUAUCCAAGGUAGUGUUACUAACUUAUCAUUGUAAGUGUUCUUGCAAGUUUUUACUUUUUCAUGUGGCUGCUUUCGUAUUUCUUUUGGUUAGUGCUGCACAGACCUGAUACAGGAGGGUAUGUUUGCUCCUGAGGACUAGAGCACCAGCUUGAUCUGGGAGAUUUGAGCAAAGGAGUGGUGGUUCUCAUGGAAAGAAUCUGAGGGAGGAAGUACUUACUUUUGGCUUACCCUGAUUUCUAAUAGGGCAAUAGUCCUGAACAGUAUUUGGCAAUAGAAAGAAUAGAUGUAAAGGUGGCCUGUUGUACAGAUCACAUCCACAGAGAAGCUGUCUGAACAUGAGUGGUCAUUUGAAAGUUUGAAAAUAAUCGUUUAAAAUAGUCAUUGGCGCAGGUAUGUAUGACUCACGACCUCUCCCGGCCCUCUUUCCACAAGCACUGGGAGUUAGAGGUUUGGGGCAAGACUGACCAUUUCAGAGAUUCUCCUAAGUAGUCCGUGGCAUUAUCUGGAUUUUGAUGUUCAGUGAUUGAGUGCGGUGUUCAUUUUAAAGGCAGUGGCAGGCACGUUACUACGUUGUCCAUAAAAUGUCAGGUGUGUGUCCCAAUCACUGAGGUAAUAAAAAUGUGAGAAAAUGCGUGUAUCAAAGCUUUGAAGAUUGUAAGAAUGAUAUUUGGAAGUUAAAGAUGAAAAUUGUUCAGCUUUUGUCGGUAAACUCUCUUGCAGAACUAAUCAACUUCAAACGAAAGAGAGUGGCAGCAUUUAGAAAGAAUCUAAUUGAAAUGUCUGAACUGGAAAUAAAGCAUGCCAGGAACAAUGUUUCCCUCCUGCAGAGCUGCAUUGACUUGUUUAAGAACAACUGAUCUGCCUUUUCUCUGAAUGAAGGACACAAAUGUGAAGCCAGCGUCACUUGCACUUAAAUCAUUACCACAGAAGAUUUAUUACCUUUGACUUUAGUUUAAAAUUAUGUGAAUAAAUAUUUUGAUUUCUAAAAAUCUUAACACUUAA
This is an RNA transcript of Lynx canadensis (Canada lynx), 4619 nucleotides long. It is a transcript of the gene named sorting nexin 5, with no coding region annotated. The transcript is spliced from 12 exons. The record is from RefSeq and is a predicted model, not a curated record. Lineage: Eukaryota; Metazoa; Chordata; Mammalia; Carnivora; Felidae.